Betta splendens (Siamese fighting fish) is the source of this 1047-nucleotide long non-coding RNA. RefSeq lists it as uncharacterized. The record is from RefSeq and is a predicted model, not a curated record. NCBI's taxonomy places the organism in Eukaryota, Metazoa, Chordata, Actinopteri, Anabantiformes, Osphronemidae. The transcript is spliced from 2 exons.
UUCCAUUGACGGUGGCGGUGCUGUGGUCUUCGCCGAGGCCGCUGUCUGGCAAGUGCAGCAUGGAGCGGCGCUGGAAGGCCUGCAGGCUGGACGUGGGAAUGAGGCCUGAGAUGGACACGGACUGCUUACGGAGCUGCGGGUCUUCCUGAAUGCUGAGUCGGACUCUCUCCAGAGUGGUCUGCCAUUUUUCCGGCCCCUGGUUCAGCUCGCCCUCCAGCCUCUCAAUGUCCUGCGGAGCCGAACACACGUAACAGGGACCACGCGUGACACACAAUACCAGAACAAGCGGGUUUGAACUUGAAACCAGGGUUUUGGGUUCCGAACUCUCACCGCGAGGAGCUUGGUGAUGGCGUCGGGUUGGGCGCGGCUCACGCUGCUGUAGCACGGCCAAACGAUCCUCCGCUUGCUGUUGGAGACGGCGUUGGCCUCCUCCGAGCUCUCCGGCCUCACGGCCAUCAUCCUCCAGUCGUAACACGGCCCAGUGGACAGCGUCUCAUCCGUGAAGAAGUCCCAUUUAGUCAGGCUGGGGAUGCUGACAGAAGGCUUGAGGAUCGGCUGAAACAAGGACGGGUUUAAUAAGAAUCAGAUGCACGGUGAUGAUUACGUAAGAUACCGUGGAAGGAUAAUGUGUUAUAAUUAGGACAAACGGUCCCGAAGAACAAGUCUAAGUGGGUUAUUUUCAACAAGUGCACCCAGCGCUGUGAUUCUAGCUGAGAGCUUUGUGUUACUGAGCAGUUUGGCCGAUUGCACAUGAAGCCUCAGAAUGGUUCAAGCUCCUCUUAUUGAUUUAAGCCCAGCUGGGGUAAAACAGGAAACACGAGACACAUUCGACAUCGGAGAGCUGCUCAAUCUGAGAAACAAGACUGAAAUCAGUAACACGGUCCUUCGAAAACAACACAAUCAGAGAUGAGCUGAAAUCACUGAAUGAAUAAAACCACUGCAGUCCAAGUGUGAUGGAGUUAUACUUCAACUCUUCCUUUUUCAGAUUAAGUAGAAAAAGCUUUUUGAAGCUUUUAGUUAAUAAUGAAAAUUAAACUAACAAGCUGA